CUACGGGGUGCUCCAGUGAGGAAUAUUGCACAAUGGGGGGAACCCUGAUGCAGCAACGCCGCGUGGAGGAUGACGCAUUUCGGUGUGUAAACUCCUUUUAUAUGUCAAGAAAAUGACGGUAGCAUAUGAAUAAGCACCGGCUAACUCCGUGCCAGCAGCCGCGGUAAUACGGAGGGCGCAAGCGUUACUCGGAAUCACUGGGCGUAAAGAGCGUGUAGGCGGAUUAAAAAGUCAGAAGUGAAAUCCUAUAGCUUAACUAUAGAACUGCACUUGAAACUUCUAAUCUAGAGUAUGGGAGGGGGAGAUGGAAUUAGUGGUGUAGGGGUAAAAUCCGUAGAUAUCACUAGGAAUACCUAAAGCGAAGGCGAUCUCCUGGAACAUUACUGACGCUAAGGCGUGAAAGCGUGGGGAGCAAACAGGAUUAGAUACCCCUGUAGUC
Molecule: ribosomal RNA, 439 nt
Filed under: uncultured bacterium
Lineage: Bacteria
Description: partial 16S ribosomal RNA
Rfam family: Bacterial small subunit ribosomal RNA
Source: RNAcentral